Hordeum vulgare subsp. vulgare (domesticated barley) is the source of this 8307-nucleotide long non-coding RNA. RefSeq lists it as uncharacterized. Lineage: Eukaryota; Viridiplantae; Streptophyta; Magnoliopsida; Poales; Poaceae. The transcript is spliced from 9 exons. The record is from RefSeq and is a predicted model, not a curated record.
UUCUUUUCUUUAUUUUCUUUUCUCUCUGUGACCUACAGACCCCACCUCCCGUCUCCUUCCUCGCGACGGACUCCGCCUCCGCCUCCGCCGCCGCCACCGACUCGAACUCUCGGAGCUCCCCUGGUACGAAACCCACAAGACCCCUCGAGAUCGAGCCACUCGACCGCGCUGAUUUCCGCCCGUCUCGGUGACUCCAUCGACGAAUUUCUUCGCCAAACGGACGCGCUAUUCGAGCCCCACCAUGCUCCGGCCGAGCUCUAUCACCGCAAGACGGAGCCCCCACAUCAUCAAGGAGGAUCCCUUAGAGAUUGCUGAGGCACGACGCACCUCGUGGACUACUUCCCGGAGCAAGAAGACCCCAGGAACCGACCCCGUACCCAUCUAUUCCGGUGACCUCCGCUGCCUAACCCAGAUCCAUCCAUGUUACUGCAUUCUGAGAUGGCAUACGUGACAUGGCUGAUGGAUCAAUCCCAAGAGAUUUUGUUUUUCAUGUUGGCUCACCUUCUCACACGCGUGUACAUCCGUGAGUGAAUUUGGUUAUUUAGAACAAAAUCUGAGAGUUGACGUAAUGGAAUUGUUGUUUUCUGUGAACUGAAUGACACACAUAUACAUAUUGCCUCGUCGUAAUUCUGUUGCCUAUCCCAACCGCAUGUGCUCCUGAAUAUGUGGAACAUAUCUAGCUGGAUAUUGUGCACCCUUUAAAUUCAUAAUAGAUCAACCAUAUGUGGAAUAGCCACCACGCUAGGGUUUGGACUCUAAUAGAUGGUCACAAUUUGGUUAACAAGGUGCUAUGGGUCGAUGGAUUGCUAUAGAUCCUGUGAUGGGCUGGUUCAUGUGAAUUUGUCUCAUAAUUGGGCAAUUGGUCCUCUGGUUGAUACUGCUCGUACUGCUCUAAUCAGGUGGUCUGUGUUCAUCUCUAGUCCAUGUGUGCGUGAUGUGCUCAUGUGAGCAGGACAUUAUCAAGUCUUUUGAUGUUCUGCGCACUGACCGAUCGAUGCCCUUCUAUGAGAAGAAAGAAAAACGACCCAUUCCUAGCUGUGUACGAGUGUAUUGACAAACAAGUUGGUUAUUGUCAAGGAUUCGAUUUGGUACAACAUCAUCACCGAUGCAGACAAGAAGUGCUUCAUCGUGCCAGGCACCUUGGCGUUGCUUUCGUCUGACGGCGACCGCGGCUACAGAAACAAUCACAAUGAACUCCUCUCCUUGCCUCCGGUGCUUGCUCUGUGCUCGUCGUAGCCAUCAUGCCAUGGCUGUCUGGUUAGGCUGCUACAUUAUAUCCUUGCUACUGUUUGUUUGUUCUUUUCUCUGCCUUGUGAUUAGCAUGCUGCUAGUAGCCCCCGCGUGAUAGUAACUUGCUGAAUAUAUGUCUUUGAGUAGCAACUUAUAGAAUAUAUAUAGCUCAUGUUCAUGUUUUCCCAUCCCACCAAGUCUGAAACACUUCUUCGCACUCAACAACCAGGCAGCACACCUGAAUAUAUAUACACAUAUGUACGUAGUUUCCCAUAACACAUGGAGCAGCCUUGUUCGUUUCGGGAUGUAGUAUCACCACUUAAUUUAUUCCCUGCCUGCCACCUUCAUGAAAUUCCGACUGUAUAUAUGUAGUUUGUGUACCGUCCAUGAUAUGCACUUGCAUAUAUACUCAACUCAUGUUGGUCUUGUGCUAUUUCCAAGGAUGCCUUCCUACUCGUGCUAGUUUUAAGUCAUGUGGCCUUGCUUCCAGGAUGAUGAUAUUCCAACUAUAUGGUUGUGGUAUGUUGCACUCUUUUGACACUAUUUUAUAUCACUACAAUUGUUUAGACAAACAUGGAGAUGCUGUGAGUUUGCUUUUCCCAGUAUGUCUUACCCAUGUAGUAUGUAGAACGCUUCAUUCUAUUAAGAAAGGCAUUUUUGAUAGUGUCAUGAUAAGAAGUCGUCUUGAGAAGAGUGGCGCCAGAAUAAGGUAAAUAGGCGGAAGCAUGUGAGCACCAUAGUAGGUUGAGCUGAAGGUGGUGCAUUACGAGGAAGGAGGCAUCACAGUCAAGGGAGAUGGCGCAUCAGAAGAAUCCACAACACACAGACGACCAAUUUGGUAAAGAAGAGGAUGAGGCGGAAUCACCGGAGAAAACUCAGUGGACAAUCGAGGUGAGGUAGCCUCGGACAAUGGAGUCGUGGGUGACAACGACAUGGGUCAACAAUAGUAAUACAAGACACGUGGGUGGACUGGGAUAAUUCAUGAAUCAUAGAUGUAUCGGGAAGAGUGAGGAAAUAAAUAUCUUCAAUGGAGGAUGGACGUGGAUAGCAAGGAUGAAACUCAUCAAAAGUGACAUCUUGAGAAAUGUGCAUCCGAUGGCUGACAAGAUCCCAACACCAAUAGUCCUUGUGCUCAUCACUAUAACAUAAGAAGACACAUUCAACACACUAAACGGUUUGGUGUGUUCAUUGGGGCAAGAAGAAUGUACAAAUGCAACCAAACAAAGGAAGCUAGAGUUGUCACGAGAAUGAUCGAAAAGACACACGAGAGAAAUGUCACCCUGCAGAGCAAUGGAAGGCGGAAUGUUGAUGAGAUAGGCGGUAGUAGACACAACCUCAACCCAGAAGUGAGGUGAAAGGGAGUUGACGAUCAUCAACACAUGAGCCACUCUGAGCACCAAGACAAGAGAAUUGAGCAAGUGUGCCCUGCUCAGCAAGGAAUCAACAUAGCGAAUGAGACAUAUACUGUUGAGCAAAAUCUGCAUGGAAGACACGGAUAGGAGUGGAAAACUUAGUAUGAACCAUGGCACCAAUUUCUUACAAAGAGAUCAGACCUCACUACAAGAAGACAUAAUAUAUUCUGUGUGCCGAGAGAAAUCAUCUAUAAAUAUAAUAUAUUAGCGAUGACCUCCUUUUGAGGCAAAGGGAGCUAGACCCCAUACAUCAGAGUGAACAAUACCGGAAGGACGAUGAGACACCGUCUUGCUAACUUGUUUACCAAGCUAACAAACUUGACAUUCUAAAUCUUCACCACCAGAGACAGAUCCAAGAAGACCACGUUGAAACUAAAGAUGAGAGAUGAGAGCCACAAAGGGCCGGUUCUUGAGGCAAUAGAGGCGAAGAGAUUUGCGGUGGUGGCCUUGGGAGUCACAACGCUGAGGGCCAACACCAAGUAGAGCACCCGUGUGAUGAUCCUAAUCAAAACAAUUUUCAAAGUCAAGAAUGACUAUACCAAGAGUCAACAAUCUAAUCACCUGAAAUGGACUACAUGGUAAGUCAAGGAGCAUGAGCAAAAGAAGGAACAUAACAAGGCAAACUGCUAAGAGUGCCUCGGCUAUUGACCAAGAGGGAAGUACCAUCAGCAGUAACAACAUGAACAUGAGAAUCCAGAGGUUUGAAUGGAGAGGAUAAACUGGAAGAAUCAUGAGUCAUAUGAAAAGACACUCCAAUACCAAGGAUCCACAGAAACAUAUCCGGAUAUAAAAAGUAGUCUCAGUACCAAAAGAAUAAUUAACAAAACCUAUAAAACUAUUAAUGGCGAACCAAAAGAAGCAUCUAGCGGGAGAAGUAUGUCAGGUGCUCGACGGAAGAGGUCGACGAAGAAGCAUCGGGCAAUAAUGAACCAUGAGAAGUAUGUGUCAAAGUCAUGCAAUCUCCUGUGCGGUGAAGGACACCGCUAAAUUGGUUGAUGUAGAAUCACCUGAAGAGGAUGCACGACCAAUACUGGUUGUAUAAUUUAGCGGAGGAGAUGAGAUCGUAGGCACAUGAGCGAAGGGAAGGCGCAUGUGUGCGACAUAGUGGGUGGAGUGAUGUGCACAAAGACUACUGAUGAAAGCUUCGAGUAUAGUCUGUAUAGAGCGACCAUCACCUUCUGUAGAGGUCACUAGGCGUCACUAUUGAGCCACCACACAAUUUGCGGAAGCACCAAGCAUCAACGGACGAUGCAUGUGCAAGAUGGGGUCAAUGUACGUAAUAUCAUUAGACGAAAAAGGAAGAGGAACUCUGUCCAAUGAAGUCCAAUACCUUUUUUUUCUACUAUUUAUUUUACAGAACUAGCUACGUCUUAUGAAAGAAGAGAGCGGCAUAGCACGUAAGAGUAAGGAAUAGGGCGCAUGCUUAGGGGCAUGGUCCCCUAGAGAAGGCAGUCGACAGGAUGGGCUGUCGAGUCCGAGUCUGAUUGUGAAGUUCGAUGUUGAGGUCCUGUGUGGAGCAAAAGAGGAGGUGAGACCGUGCAUGCAACAACGAAUGUCCGGAGGUUGUGAUUGUGCGCCAACCAACUGGAGAUGGCGACGAGGCGCGACCUAUUGGAGUGGCAGGGUGUCAGAUUCCUAGAGAUGGCAAUGAGGCGUUGCCUUAUGUACAUGGUGACAAUGCAUGACCUCCUGAAGAUGCCGGAGAGGUAGCCUAUUGUUACGUGCACGACGCAGGUGGCCACAAGGGUGACCAUGAUGAAGGCGAAGGUAUCAAGCUUGGAAGGGCGUGCCGCGAGUGACGACUUGUGGGAAUUCAUCGGGACGGGAAAGGCCUGGACAACGAAGGAGAGACAACCCCGACCUAGAGGCAGUGGAGAGACGACGACAAUUGUCGGAAAAGACAUUGACAUGGGUCGGGGAGGUGGGGUUGCACGUGAGUGUACUAGCCUGAGAACAAAUGAUUGGAAACUUGGAUAGAGAUCAAUUUAAAGAAGAGCACGAGUCGUGUGUGCGAGGAAGAAAACCUAGGCUCUAAUACCAUGUUAAGAAUAUGCAACUUGUAUUCCCAUGUGGCCAUAGGCUAUACAUGUACAUGCAUGGUAAGAUAUGCAGAAAGCCCCCCGUACAUAACUAAUAUAUUACUCAUGUUGAACACCCGGGCGUUGUGCUCCUUCCACGUGGUCUAGAAUGUGAGCAAAACCGUGCGCCAAAGGUGAUGUCGAAGAGGCGAGCAUGAAUUUCUAGAUGCCUGUUGAGAAGAAGUACUUGGUGAAAAAGUGUUGAGCACUCUUGGGGGCACUGAAGCAGAGGGUGCAUGCCAUGUUGAUGUUCGCACCAUGGCGUUGACGACGGUUAGUAGACCAUUAAUGAUACUCUAGAUAUGUGCCAAAUAUGGCUCCAACCGCAAUCCAAAUCCAAGCUUCAUCAUUCAGCCAUUGUCUCUAGAUUGCCGAUAGUUGAAGACCUGAGCGUUGUGUUCCUUCCAGAUGGUCCAGACCACGAGCAAAAAUGUCGACUCGAGAUACCAGCUUGGGGUCCAUGCAAAGGAUGUCAAAUUCAUACCAUUUGACAAUGACACAUCAGCGGCAAAGUUUAAUUGUUUUUUCGGAUUGAAACACAAACAUGCCUAGGGGUCCUUGGAUCUUUAGGCACCAUGCUAUGGUAAUUGAAGAGUAUAAUGGGAUUUGUCUCCCUUAACUCCAUAUGUGUUUGGGCACGGAUCAUGGGUCUACCGGACUUCUUGUGCAAUGGUGGCUAGAGCAAUGGCUUCCCAGAUAGAGAAGUGUUAGAUGUGGAGCUUGGGCUAAAUGGCGUUGAGUAUGUGAGAUUGUUUGAGUCUGCGUCAAGAUCAAACUAGAGAAGCCCUCUUUGAGGUUCUUAGGGAAUGUUGAGAGAGGUAAUCCACCCCAAAUGUCCCAUGUGCUAUACGAGAAGAUGUCGCAUUCUUUGUAAAUUGCGAUAUGAUUGGCCAUGUUACAGAACAAUGCGAGGAUGGGGUUCAUGAUCCAAAGAAGUUCCAGUUUGGCGAUUUUAUGAUGGUUCCAAUCUAGAUGUGGUUCCAACCUAGAAAUGAGUUCAUUGCUCAACCUCGUGGUAGCAGCACGUGUGGAAGAGGUGGUAGCUGGGCUAGUAGAGGUCAAGGUGGUCAUAGAGGGAGAAUUGGGCAUGACCCGACCCGAUGUGUAAGGAGAAAAGAUGAUUUUGACCCUGCAAAUGGAAAUAUGAGCACAUGCAAUUUCGCAUACAGUGUUAAUUUAAGGAAUUUUGGUACGAAGCCACCUCGCAAGAGAUUAUUGAUUGCAGACAACCUCGCAUCGAGCAAGGACGCCCUCCCUUGUGGUUUGGAGGAAAGAAAGUGACAAGUCUUAUAGCAUACCCUGAGGGCAAAACUGGGCGAGUAACUCAACUCAGGGUUUCUCUUUGCAAGUUCAAUUGGAAAGAAGGCAGAGGAUGGCGCGGGCGUGUCGCUCCUAACAACAUUUUCAUCGUUUCCCCAUAACUCGCUCACUAUCCAUUCACCGUUGAUUCGGCUUGGCGUUCUUCUCCUGUUUGCGGGUUGUGUGCCACGUACUUGAUUCCGCAUUCCACGUUCCCUUGCAGGGUGUCCUAGGCCUUGGCGACAGGUAGCGUCGUGCCCCUGGACGCUUGCGUCCUCGCAUAAGACGGAGACGAUGCCGACUGCUUGUGCUCUUGCUCCACCAGUGGUGGUGCAUGAGCUUGUGGCUAUGGUGACAACCUGCAUGGGAGCACGAGAUGUAGGAACAAGGCAGUGUACAGAGCAACUCGUAGCCGGGCAAAGGAUGCCUAGCCGGACUGGCAAGCAAUAGAUAGUACAUGGGAGGUGUGGGGGAAGGUGUGAAAACGAUGUUGGGAACGUGCGACUAUCGUCAACCUAUGGACCCAGAGCUGAGGGGCAAGGGGAUGGUGAUAGGGGAAGCAAGGAAGAAGGAAAGAGGGCACUGGGAGGAGAAAUGCAUCAUCAACCGCCCUAUGCCUAUGCGUCAUCUAUGACGGUGGACUGUUGUGGGAAGAUAUGGUGUCUACACGUGGAUCUACUUGGUUGACAUGACGAACUUGAGCAUGGGAAGAAAAGAUGGUGAGAGAGUCCCACGUAGAACAUGGAGGAGGUGACUAUAUUGGAUUGAAGUGGGAGCAAAGACAAACUCACUUAAAAUGUGAACGUGAUAUGAAAUAUUUGGUCAAGUGGCAUCUAAAUAGACAAGACUCCCAACAAAAUGAAGGUAUCGUGCCAGAUCAAACGAAAGCUCUCCGUUAGAAGCACAGAGGUGGACGUUGAGCUCCAUAGGAGUUUAAACAUUACGCUCACUAAUAAAACAAUGUGAGCAAGAAAAUCCUGGAUAUACUUAUCUCAUUAAGUAAAGAAGCCAUCAAAGGUAGAAGAAACCUUAACCCCCAAGGAUUAAGGCAUAAGAGCUACUGACUAAGACGAGCCUUCACAAAGGCAAUGUACUCAGUUGUUGCCAGUUAUGAUCAUGAGCUGAAAGGUUGACAUAAAAGAAGAGUACCUUAUGGUAACAUUACACGUGGAAGACGAAAGCUGAGUUUGACCAUGAGCUGAAAGGUUGACAUAAAAGAAGAGUACCUUAUGGUAACAUCACCCGUGGAAGACGAAAGAUGAGUUUGACCUUGCAAAUGGAAAAUUGGGUGCAAUGUCAUUGCAAACCAUGUUAAUCUUAAUUCUUGAUUCGUGUGGGACUCGGCGGCAUACGACGCCUUUGCACUGGUUGCGGUAGGAUCGUGUUAUUGGACGACUAGGAUCACAAAGGUGACACCACGUGUUAUUUCAUACCCUUGAAGGGAAAUUUUUGUUGUUUGUUAGCCAGCCUACAUAACCCCACAUCCACUACCACGUUCACCUUUUCUCCAUGCGGUGAAAGCACUAUCCGCCACAUCCCACACUCGUGGCCCCUGUUUCUGUUUGGUCGCCAUCCCUCUCUCGCGUUGUCCGCAACAGGUAUUAUCCAUGCUCGACAUCGCCUCCUUGAUGCUCUGCGGCCUUCGGACAGUUCUCAUCCGCGACGCCGGUCUCCUCCUUCACAAACCCUUGUUGCCGCUGUCCUCCUUCCUUUCUUGACGGUGUCCUGUCAUCUUCCUCCCCACUGGCGCCAAAGGUCCCCCAACGGCAAAACGGAUGAUUAGUCAGAGGACUCACACGACCAUGUUUACACGGACGAGUUCUUGCAGCAAGCUCUUCAAUUGUGAUGAUUUGCAACAACACCAGAGGCUGGGAAGCACACCUGAACCAGGUCACAGCCUUAUCACCUCGUUUCCUCGCCCUGCUCCCCAAUUUGAAGGCAAGGUCACAGAGCAGCAGCACCUGCGGCCGCAUGAUUUAUGCUUUGCAUGGUUUUUAUGAUGUGCUAUGGAAGCACAGGAAUUUGUUUGCAGCCCCCCUUCGGACCUAGGUCUCACCGGCCAUGUUAAGUUAGAGUAUGAUGUACCACCCUCUGUUGACCAUAAACUUGCAAUGUAAGGAUACGGUACCAGCAAAUUGGAUCACAUGGUGAUAUGAUUAUUUUGUAAAACUUGCACAUGGCAUUUCCUAGGCGUGUUUUCCUGUGACAGUAUUUCUAUGACAUGAGGAUGUGAUUGAUGUAAUGGUCCAGUUAUGAUAUCGAAUAUGGAUACUUGUGUUCGAACAUUA